GCAUUAUUAGCCUCAUAAAUGU
RNAcentral lists this small RNA (22 nucleotides) under Arabidopsis thaliana (thale cress). RNAcentral describes it as "ATSL069960". The record is from RNAcentral. Lineage: Eukaryota; Viridiplantae; Streptophyta; Magnoliopsida; Brassicales; Brassicaceae.